RNAcentral lists this ribosomal RNA (468 nucleotides) under uncultured bacterium. Its description in RNAcentral is "partial 16S ribosomal RNA". It matches the Rfam family "Bacterial small subunit ribosomal RNA", at positions 28 to 507 of the family's 1533-position model. The record is from RNAcentral.
GACGAACGCUGGCGGCGUGCUUAACACAUGCAAGUCGAACGGAAAGGCCCUGCUUUUGUGGGGUGCUCGAGUGGCGAACGGGUGAGUAACACGUGAGUAACCUGCCCUUGACUUUGGGAUAACUUCAGGAAACUGGGGCUAAUACCGGAUAGGGGCUCCUGCUGCAUGGUGGGGGUUGGAAAGUUUCGGCGGUUGGGGAUGGACUCGCGGCUUAUCAGCUUGUUGGUGGGGUAGUGGCUUACCAAGGCUUUGACGGGUAGCCGGCCUGAGAGGGUGACCGGCCACAUUGGGACUGAGAUACGGCCCAGACUCCUACGGGAGGCAGCAGUGGGGAAUAUUGCACAAUGGGCGGAAGCCUGAUGCAGCAAUGCCGCGUGCGGGAUGACGGCCUUCGGGUUGUAAACCGCUUUCGCCUGUGACGAAGCGUGAGUGACGGUAAUGGGUAAAGAAGCACCGGCUAACUACGUG